GGGCCCAUAGCUCAGUUGGUAGAGCAGGGGACUCAUAAUCCCUUGGUCCGAGGUUCAAGUCCUCGUGGGCCCACCA
RNAcentral lists this transfer RNA (76 nucleotides) under Candidatus Omnitrophota bacterium. RNAcentral's name for it is "tRNA-Ile". It matches the Rfam family "tRNA". Rfam says of the family: Transfer RNA (tRNA) molecules are approximately 80 nucleotides in length. Their secondary structure includes four short double-helical elements and three loops (D, anti-codon, and T loops). The record is from RNAcentral. Lineage: Bacteria; Pseudomonadati; Candidatus Omnitrophota.